Molecule: non-coding RNA, 3325 nt
Organism: Danio rerio (zebrafish)
Lineage: Eukaryota; Metazoa; Chordata; Actinopteri; Cypriniformes; Danionidae
Source: RefSeq, a predicted model, not a curated record
UGAUUCCGAGCUCGAUGGGUCAUCUUUAUUACAGCAAUGUACGCAUGGGUGUGAGUGCACUUGGAGGUAGCAAACAGAUGCUUAUUCAAAGAUGCAUGACAUGUAGCUACUGAAGACCAAUUUACUGUGACUGUACACAUCUCUCUUCCUCAUUGCCAGUCACAUAAGUUGUUUGCUUGGAAUUUGAUUUGCUGUUUUGCCUCAUGUUUGUGUAAUGCUACACAUAUUGUCGAUCUAUUUCAAAUCCCAAGCAUGUUUGUUUGAAAAACAGCCUCCUCCACAGGCCCCUAAUCUGCCUUUCAAUGAUCCAACUCUUUUAUUAGACCAAUCUAAUCCACAGCAGCCCCAAACCCCUCCUCCCCUCCUUGGGCGCGUCUUGGACACAGAACCUUCCAUCUGUCGGGGACUGACCGCGUGUGGGACGGCCUCCCUCUGCAAACGGGACCUUCCAGUCAAAGAAAGGUGUGAAACAGAAGUCAAGCAGCUGAUCAACAAUUAAAGGCUCACUAAGUUUUAUAUGUAAAGAAUUUAAAAAAAGCAACUUUGGGAAAUGACUUUAAAAAGACAUGCAGCAACCUAAGAAGACUUCAGUCAUAUCACUCAUCCACAUUGUGUUUGUUGCUUCAUAAUGGCUGCCACCACCAUACUGCGUCACAGCUACUAAUGUUACUGUGUUUACUCAAAAUAGUGCUUUCAUCCACUUUAUUAAACAUAAGCAUUAAAACACACAACAAAACAAUGAAGCAUGAAUUGCAAGUGAACUACAUGCAUCCAGGCCAAUAGGGGUCACUAUAAAACAUUUAAACAACGUAGACAAUUAGGUAAAAUGUUUAAUUUUAGUUUACAAUGUUAAAUAAGCAAACGACAGAGCCCACCUUUAAAACUCAUCACUGUAGGCUACACAAUUUUAUCCGCCUUUUGGAAUGAGCGGUCAUUUUCCCACGACUCUGCUGAAUUUAUAGUCAAAACGCGAGGGAGGUUUGGCGCUAAACAUUACCCUCAACAAUUUGGUCUGUUGCCUUAUUAUUACAACCUAGAAUAGACCUAUGCUUCCCCCUCAAUAGUGAGGUAUUUUUAGAUCUCACAUCCGUCUAUUCAAUCAGACAGUUUAUUUAAGAACAUUUCAUUUUGCGCGUGGGCUAAUCGACACAUCCGUAUCAACAGGACCCAUGUAAAUUUCAUCCUAAUGUAAUCAAGCUAAUGGUUUAUGGCCUAAUGGAUGCAGAUUAUAAAAGGAGGAUGGAUGUUUUAUAUACAAUUUGCACCUAAACUUCGGGCCAUUUAUUUUGCUGACAAGAAAAUGCUUCCCAAAAAGGGACUUGGAUGAGGAAUGCUUCAUGAGGCAGUCACAGCGAAAACGUGUGGCAGGAAUGAGUUAACAACGGAGAUGAAUAAAGAACUGUAUGAAACUGCCAGCCAAUCCGCGUUGAGAUUAACACUUCGGACGGAGAUGAUUGGCUAGAGCGGAUUGAAUGCAUGUUCGUUGAUAAGUACAAGAUUUUUGACCCACGUGGGUCGUGUUUCUAUCACGGCGCAGCCAUUGGCUGAAAGGACUUCGCGAGGCCCCUCCCUCGCUCGCUUAUUGGCGCAGCUCUCCUCGUCCUCUCUUGUUCUCAGUCUGCGGAAAUACCCCUGUGCGAGUUGGGAAUCAGCGCGAGCGCCUUCGGCUCGUCGCUUCGCAUCUAUCAGAGAGCGCGUGAAACUAACACGGUUCUGACAUUUGCUGCUGCACCUCUUAACAACCUUAAUAUGAUUUCCUUUAAAAACAUGAUUAUUAGAUAUGAUAUUUAACUCUAUCUUUUCCGCCUCAGCCUGUCUGGAAACACAACACCAUCCGUGUAGCCCGGGGUGUUUUAUUUCAUCCUCUGCUUGUGCUGCAAGGAAUUACUGGAGUCAGAUUCUGUUUCUCUCAAGCAUCCCGUUCAUUCUCGGCCAGUUACAGGUUUUUGCUGGCGAUAUACAAAUUAGAUGGGACAUUACAGAUGAAUGCAUCAAAUAGACGUGCGUCUGCAAAUGCACGCUGUCCAUGAAAAGCAGCCUGAUCAGAUCACAAGCAGAAAAGUGCACAAGUGUGUUUACGCAUGGUUACUUCAUGCAUUUUUUUUUACUGAUUGCACAGACAAUGUAAACGAUGCAUUUGAGAGUGAUGGCAGUCUGUUCGGUGAUCAAUCUGAAACACAAAUCAGCCAAGUGUACAUGCAUCAAGCUCAGACAAAGAGGGUCAAUUAUAAUACCUGGAGAUAUUCUCAUGCAUCUCAAUGGCACUUGCUCGGCUGUCAUCCGCGAUUCUCAUUGGCUAUGGCUGAAAAUUGCUUACGGCUUGAGUAUGUACUUUUUCUGAUUACUUCUGAAGUCUGGAUGCAUGCAGUAUGAAGAUGAUCUGGAUCUGCAUUUUCCAUGUUGUGUUAUAUCACAUGAUCUAUGAGAGCUAGUUAUGUCACUUCACUGCCAUUCACAAAUCCUCUGCUGUGGCCUCAUGGCGUCCAUUAUAUGCACCGAAAAUAAUAAGUCAUUCAGAUUUUAUGACCUCAAACACAAUUUUGAAGCAUUUUGUUAUUUCCUACAAAACAGACGGGUUGUAUGUGAGUUUGGGAGCAGCCAUGGUAGAACUUGUACACAGCCAAUCACCUAAACUGGUCAUAUAAACUAAUGAAUACAAAGUGGCUGGAAAACUAUCAAGGCAACACUGAUUGAUUGGUUGAUGGCACUGUUCAAAAGCAACAAAGAAAAUGCAAUUCACUAUAUUUUACCAUUAAAAUUAUCAUUUUGAAAAGGUAUUACUGGUUUCAUUUAAUCAAAUGUAUCCUAAUGCGUUGUUAAUGCUUUCAUUUGAAUAAGAGUAAAUGCUAAGAACUGAAUACACGAAACACAUAGACAGAGAUCUUUAAAAGCAGGUCUGGUGCAGUUUAACUAAAAUAUGAAAACAAAAGAGACAUCUACACUAAAACAGGACAUGAGGUCAAAAGAUGUACCCAUAAAAGGGAAAGAAUGCUCAGGCAUACCUGCUUUUUCUACCUGUGUUUGGUCUGGAUCAUAAAAGAAAAUUAUACAUUUAGUGCUGGUUUGCUUAGUGUUCACACACACAAAAACAGGUUUAUAAUGUGUAUAUUUGCAGAGGAACUUAAAGAAUGAUCAUGUGACAACAUGCGACAGGAAUCUCUGCUACUGUUUUGACUCCUUUGCACAUUUUAUAAGCUCUUAAACACGAUUUUCAACUGAUUCUUCAAAGGAAUCUUUAUUUAAUUAUCAAAAAGAUAGUGAGAACACUAAGCAAACCACAACUAUACCAUUUUCUUUUUUGGUCUAGCAAACUAAAAGAACAAAA